Molecule: ribosomal RNA, 423 nt
Filed under: beta proteobacterium so30
Lineage: Bacteria; Pseudomonadati; Pseudomonadota; Betaproteobacteria
Description: bacterial SSU rRNA
Rfam family: Bacterial small subunit ribosomal RNA
Source: RNAcentral
GAAGGCUUCGGGUUGUAAAGCUCUUUCGCAAGGGAAGAAAACUUAUGAUCGAAUAAAUCAUGAGGUUGACGGUACCUUGAUAAGAAGCACCGGCUAACUACGUGCCAGCAGCCGCGGUAAUACGUAGGGUGCGAGCGUUAAUCGGAAUUACUGGGCGUAAAGCGUGCGCAGGCGGUUUUGUAAGUCGGAUGUGAAAUCCCCGGGCUCAACCUGGGAACUGCGUUCGAAACUGCAAGGCUAGAGUGUGUCAGAGGGGGGUAGAAUUCCACGUGUAGCAGUGAAAUGCGUAGAGAUGUGGAGGAAUACCAAUGGCGAAGGCAGCCCCCUGGGAUAACACUGACGCUCAUGCACGAAAGCGUGGGGAGCAAACAGGAUUAGAUACCCUGGUAGUCCACGCCCUAAACGAUGUCAACUAGUUGUUGG